RNAcentral lists this ribosomal RNA (429 nucleotides) under Gemmatimonadota bacterium. RNAcentral's name for it is "Gemmatimonadetes bacterium partial 16S ribosomal RNA". It matches the Rfam family "Bacterial small subunit ribosomal RNA", at positions 355 to 776 of the family's 1533-position model. The record is from RNAcentral. Lineage: Bacteria; Pseudomonadati; Gemmatimonadota.
UAGGGAAUCUUCUGCAAUGGACGACAGUCUGACCGAGCAACGCCGCGUGAGUGAAGAAGGUUUUCGGAUCGUAAAACUCUGUUGUUAGAGAAGAACAAGGACGUUAGUAACUGAACGUCCCCUGACGGUAUCUAACCAGAAAGCCACGGCUAACUACGUGCCAGCAGCCGCGGUAAUACGUAGGUGGCAAGCGUUGUCCGGUUUUAUUGGGCGUAAAGCGAGCGCAGGCGGUUUCUUAAGUCUGAUGUGAAAGCCCCCGGAUCAACCGGGGAGGGUCAGUGGAAACUGGGAGACAUGAGGGCAGAAGAGGAGGGUGGAAUUCCAUGUGUAGCGGUGAAAUUCGUAGAUAUAUGGAGGAACACCGGUGGCGAAGGCGGCUCUCUGGUCUGUAGCUGACGCUGGGGCUCGAAAGCGUGGGGAACAAACAGG